Molecule: long non-coding RNA, 450 nt
Filed under: Marmota monax (woodchuck)
Lineage: Eukaryota; Metazoa; Chordata; Mammalia; Rodentia; Sciuridae
Source: RNAcentral
GUAAAGCAGAAGACUCAAUCCCGAGUCCGGCAGGCCUGGAUUUGCCAGCUCUUCUACUUAGGCUCGUGGAUGUUAUUAUCCAUCUCACAUGUUGAAAACCCUUUUGCGGUGUUUCAUGUGGUGCUGGGAUGAACCCAGGGCUUCACACAUGCUGUGAAGGAGCUCUGCCACUGAGCUGCACUCCUUUUAAGGCUUAAAAACAUGACAGUUUGUAACCCACUCGGUGGCUGGCACAAACGAAGUGCUCACUAAACAUGCUUAUUGGAACUUUUUUUUUUUUCCCCUGGGGGGGUGGGAUCUAACCCUGGAACGCUUUACCACUGAGCCACAUCCCCACCCCUUUUAAAUUUUGAGACAGCCUCACUUAUCUGCGGAGGCUGGCCUCGAACUCGCGAUCCUCCUGUCUCAGCCUCCCGAAUUGCUGGGAUUACGAGGGAGCCACCACGUCCG